GGGAGCCUCACGAACGUUGGUAGCAACCCAAACCCAUGUGAACGUUACCAAACUGUUGCCUCGGCGGGGUCACGCCCCGGGUGCGUCGCAACCCCGGAACCAGGCGCCCGCCGGAGGAACCAACCAAACUCUUUCUGUAGUCCCCUCGCGGACGUAUUUCUUACAGCUCUGAGCAAAAAUUCAAAAUGAAUCAAAACUUUCAACAACGGAUCUCUUGGUUCUGGCAUCGAUGAAGAACGCAGCGAAAUGCGAUAAGUAAUGUGAAUUGCAGAAUUCAGUGAAUCAUCGAAUCUUUGAACGCACAUUGCGCCCGCCAGUAUUCUGGCGGGCAUGCCUGUCCGAGCGUCAUUUCAACCCUCGAACCCCUCCGGGGGAUCGGCGUUGGGGAUCGGGACCCCUCACACGGGUGCCGGCCCCGAAAUACAGUGGCGGUCUCGCCGCAGCCUCUCCUGCGCAGUAGUUUGCACAACUCGCACCGGGAGCGCGGCGCGUCCACGUCCGUAAAACACCCAACUUUCUGAAAUGUUGACCUCGGAUCAGGUAGGAAUACCCGCUGAACUUAAGCAUAUCAAUAGCCGGGAGGAA
RNAcentral lists this ribosomal RNA (585 nucleotides) under Trichoderma sp. TAAU8. RNAcentral describes it as "eukaryotic LSU rRNA". The stretch from base 195 to 348 matches the Rfam family "5.8S ribosomal RNA". The record is from RNAcentral. Lineage: Eukaryota; Fungi; Ascomycota; Sordariomycetes; Hypocreales; Hypocreaceae.